GUAGGUGAACCUGCGGAAGGAUCAUUAUUGAAUAAAUCUGACGUGGUUGUAGCUGGCUCCCUUAAAGAGCAUGUGCACACCCGUCACCUUUAUCUUUCCACCUGUGCACACACUGUAGUCCUGGAUACCUCUCGCUGCAAGGCGGAUGCAGAGGCUGCUGUGCCUUCGAAAGAAGGUCGGCUUUCUCUGAAUUUCCAGGUCUACGAAUUUUAUACACCCCAAACGAAUGUUAUAGAAUGUAAUCUUUAUCAGGCCUUUGUGCCUAUAAAACCUAUACAACUUUCAGCAACGGAUCUCUUGGCUCUC
This 306-nucleotide unclassified non-coding RNA is filed under the name rhizosphere metagenome. RNAcentral's name for it is "partial ribosomal RNA internal transcribed spacer region". The record is from RNAcentral.